UACCCUAUUGGGUCUGCCCUAUAGCGGCUGUGCCCUAUGGGGGCUGUGCCCUAUGGCAGCUGUGCCCUAUGGGGGCUGUCCUAUAGGAGCUGCGUCUUAUGAGAGCUGUGUCCUAGGGGAUUUGUGCCCUAUUUGGGGCUGUGCCCUAUGGGGUCUGCCCUAUAGACACCAUAUUCUAUGGGGUCUGCUUUAUGGGUUCUGUGCCCUAUGGUGGCUCUGUGCUCUAUGGGGUCUGCCCUACGAGGUCUGCCCUAUAGGAGCCACACUCUAUGGGGGCUGUCCUUUAUGGGGGGCCGUGCCCUAUAGGGUCUGCCCUAGGGGAGCUGCUCUAUGGGAUCUGCGCCCUAUGGGGUCUGCCCCUCUUACCCACAGCCAGCCCCGGGUCGCUGUUCAUGGUCUGCACGAUCUCCAUGCCCUGAGAGCACGGCCGCGUUAGGGACAUCGCCACCACCCCCGUGUCACAUCCCCCCCCAUCCCCACA
Molecule: long non-coding RNA, 481 nt
Filed under: Numida meleagris (helmeted guineafowl)
Lineage: Eukaryota; Metazoa; Chordata; Aves; Galliformes; Numididae
Description: lncRNA (ENSNMEG00000004337.1)
Source: RNAcentral